This 465-nucleotide ribosomal RNA is filed under the name uncultured bacterium. RNAcentral's name for it is "bacterial SSU rRNA". It matches the Rfam family "Bacterial small subunit ribosomal RNA", at positions 243 to 700 of the family's 1533-position model. The record is from RNAcentral.
AGCUUGUUGGCGGGGUAAUGGCUCACCUAGGCGACGAUACAUAGCCGACCUGAGAGGGUGAUCGGCCACACUGGGACUGAGACACGGCCCAGACUCCUACGGGAGGCAGCAGUAGGGAAUCUUCGGCAAUGGGGGCAACCCUGACCGAGCAACGCCGCGUGAGUGAAGAAGGUUUUCGGAUCGUAAAGCUCUGUUGUAAGUCAAGAACGGGUGUAAGAGUGGAAAGUUCACACUGUGACGGUAGCUUACCAGAAAGGGACGGCUAACUACGUGCCAGCAGCCGCGGUAAUACGUAGGUCCCGAGCGUUGUCCGGAUUUAUUGGGCGUAAAGCGAGCGCAGGCGGUUUGAUAAGUCUGAAGUUAAAGGCUGUGGCUCAACCAUAGUUCGCUUUGGAAACUGUCAAACUUGAGUGCAGAAGGGGAGAGUGGAAUUCCAUGUGUAGCGGUGAAAUGCGUAGAUAUAUG